GUAAGGCUUUGCUGGAGCUGCCUUGGUCCGUCGUUGUCAUCACCGAGCUCUGUGAACUUCCCAAGCAGUGACGACUAUUCAUAGUUUUCGACGACGACAAUUUCAUGUGUCUCUGAAUCUUUGUCCUCCAGAAAUUCUUUAUCUCGUUAUCCGUUCUCCCCGGUAGAUGUUUCGCAAUCUUCGACCACCUAUAUUCAUUUAAGACCCCCUGAAGUUGAAUGAUCAAAAGCUGUUCUUCUGCUGUUAUGUUCCCUCGCCGCACAUCUGGCCUGAGAUAGUUCAGCCACCGGAGCCGACAACUUUUUCCCGUACGUUUUAGACCUUAAUUAUUAUAUACAUACAUAAUAUAUAAUUGAUUAUCAGAACAUAACCAAUUAAAAAACAUGUGGGAGUGUAUGUCAUUAUUCGCAAUUAUAUCAACCUACUUCUAAUCA
Molecule: long non-coding RNA, 434 nt
Organism: Brassica napus (rape)
Lineage: Eukaryota; Viridiplantae; Streptophyta; Magnoliopsida; Brassicales; Brassicaceae
Exons: 2
Source: RefSeq, a predicted model, not a curated record